AGCAGCCGCGGUAAUUCCAGCUCCAAUAGCGUAUAUUAAAGUUGUUGCAGUUAAAAAGCUCGUAGUUGAAUUUCGGGGUCAGCAGGUUGGUCGUGCCACUGGUAUGUACUGGCUUUGCUGAUUCCUCCUUCUUGUAGAACCGUAAUGCCAUUAAUUUGGUGUUGCGGGGAAACAGGACUGUUAACUUUGAAAAAAUUAGAGUGUUUAAAGCAAGCUAACGCUUGAAUACAUUAGCAUGGAAUAAUGAAAUAGGACGUUUGAUCCUAUUUUGUUGGUUUCUAGGAUCGACGUAAUGAUUAAUAGGGAUAGUUGGGGGCAUUAGUAUUCAAUUGUCAGAGGUGAAAUUCUUGGAUUUAUUGAAGACUAACUACUGCGAAAGCAUUUGCCAAGGAUGUUUUCAUUAAUCAAGAACGAAAGUUAGGGGAUCGAAGACGAUCAGAUACCGUCGUA
This 450-nucleotide ribosomal RNA is filed under the name uncultured Glomeromycotina. Its description in RNAcentral is "SSU rRNA". It matches the Rfam family "Eukaryotic small subunit ribosomal RNA", at positions 569 to 1022 of the family's 1831-position model. Lineage: Eukaryota; Fungi; Glomeromycota. The record is from RNAcentral.